RNAcentral lists this RNase P RNA (324 nucleotides) under Megasphaera micronuciformis. Its description in RNAcentral is "RNase P RNA component class A". It matches the Rfam family "Bacterial RNase P class A". From Rfam's summary of the family: Ribonuclease P (RNase P) is a ubiquitous endoribonuclease, found in archaea, bacteria and eukarya as well as chloroplasts and mitochondria. Lineage: Bacteria; Bacillati; Bacillota; Negativicutes; Veillonellales; Veillonellaceae. The record is from RNAcentral.
GAAGCAAGUAUGAAAGACGGUUGCGAGUCCAUAGGACUCGAGGAAAGUCCGAGCUCCAUAGGGCAGGAUGCCAGAUANNNNNNNNNNAAACCGCCACGUCCGUGGUAAGGUUGGAAAGGGGAGGUAAGAGCUCACCAGCAGUCUGGUAACAGGCUGGCUCGGUAAACCCCAUCCGGAGCAAGACCGAAUAGGGAAGGGUUAACGGUGGUCCCGCCUACCUUCCGGGUUGUGUCGCUCGAGCGUGCAGGCGACUGUACGCCUAGAAAGAUAAUCGUCACCGCGCAAGCGGAACAGAACUCGGCUUAAUGAUUGCUUGCUUCUUAU